This 245-nucleotide ribosomal RNA is filed under the name uncultured bacterium. RNAcentral's name for it is "partial 16S ribosomal RNA". It matches the Rfam family "Bacterial small subunit ribosomal RNA", at positions 28 to 265 of the family's 1533-position model. The record is from RNAcentral.
GACGAACGCUGGCGGCGUGCUUAACACAUGCAAGUCGAACGGAGAUUCAGCAAUGGAUCUUAGUGGCGAACGGGUGAGUAACGCGUAGGCAAUCUGCCUUCUAGAUGGGGACAACAUCCCGAAAGGGGUGCUAAUACCGAAUGUUGUAGUUGGUUCGCAUGGACUAGCUACUAAAGGUGGCCUCUGAAUAUGCUUCCGCUAGAAGAUGAGCCUGCGUCUGAUUAGCUAGUUGGAGGGUAACGGCC